This is a non-coding RNA of Petromyzon marinus (sea lamprey), 69 nucleotides long. Lineage: Eukaryota; Metazoa; Chordata; Hyperoartia; Petromyzontiformes; Petromyzontidae. The record is from Ensembl.
GGAAGUAUGUCCGACAAUAGGAACCACUUUGAUAGAGUGGCUACAGGGGAUAUUACCCCCUUUCUUCCU